Molecule: ribosomal RNA, 743 nt
Filed under: Bacillus sp. (in: firmicutes)
Lineage: Bacteria; Bacillati; Bacillota; Bacilli; Caryophanales; Bacillaceae
Description: bacterial SSU rRNA
Rfam family: Bacterial small subunit ribosomal RNA
Source: RNAcentral
CUCCUACUGGAGGCAGCAGUACGGAAUCUUACACAAUGGACAAAAGUCCGACCGAGCAACAGCCACGUGGAGUGAUGAAGGUUUUCAGCAUCGGAAAGCUCAGUUGUUAGGGAAGAACAAGUACCGUUCGAAUAAGGACGGUACCUGGACGGUACCUAACCAAAAAGCCACGGCCUAACUAAGUGCCAGCAGCCCCGGUAAUACGUAGGUGGCAAGCGUUGUCCGGAAUUAAUUGGGCGUAAAGGACUCGCAGGCGGUUCCUUAAGUCUGAUGUGAAAGCCCCCGGCUCAACCGGGGAGGGUCAUUGGAAACUGGGGAACUUGAGUGCAGAAGAGGAGAGUGGAAUUCCACGUGUAGCGGUGAAAUGCGUAAAGAUGUGGAGGAACACCAGUGGCGAAGGCGACUCUCUGGUCUGUAACUGACGCUGAGGAGCGAAAGCGUGAGGAGCGAACACGAUUAGAUACCCUGGUAGUCCACGCCGCAAACGAUGAGUACUAAGUGUUAGGGGGUUUCCGCCCCUUAGUGCUGCAGCUAACGCAUUAAGCACUCCGCCUGGGGAGUACGGUCGCAAGACUGAAACUCAAAGGAAUUGACGGGGGCCCGCACAAGCGGUGGACCAUGUGGUUUAAUUAGAAGCAACGCGAAGAACCUUACCAGGUCUUGACAUCCUCUGACAAUCCUAAAAGAAAGAACAUCCCCUUCCAGGGGCAGACUAACAGGUGCUGCAUGUGUCGUCGUCAGCU